AUGAAAGUGGGUAAGUUAGGCAUGGAUUUUAUCACAGGAUUACCCAUGACUCGUUCAGGCUAUGACUCGAUUUGGGUUGUAGUCGAUCGAUUGAUGAAGGUAGCUCAUUUCAUCCCGGCAAAGACCACUUACACCAGUGCUAAAUUGGCAAAGAUAUACAUGACCAGGAUCGUAUGUCUACAUGGAGUUCCGAGGAGUAUCGUAUCAGAUAGAGGAACCCGGUUUACCUCAAAGUUCUGGAAGCAGUUGCAUGAAACUUUGGGUACCAGGCUAGAAUUUAGUACAACUUUUCAUCCACAGACAGAUGGAUAG
This 312-nucleotide ribosomal RNA is filed under the name Triticum aestivum (bread wheat). RNAcentral describes it as "partial small subunit ribosomal RNA". The record is from RNAcentral. Lineage: Eukaryota; Viridiplantae; Streptophyta; Magnoliopsida; Poales; Poaceae.